This is a long non-coding RNA of Tripterygium wilfordii, 828 nucleotides long. RefSeq lists it as uncharacterized. The record is from RefSeq and is a predicted model, not a curated record. The transcript has 2 exons. Lineage: Eukaryota; Viridiplantae; Streptophyta; Magnoliopsida; Celastrales; Celastraceae.
UGCAUAGCCCCGCACAGCACUUUUCAUCUUUUUUAUUUUCUCUCUCUCACCUCUCAAGAGAGAGAAGGUUUCUCAGAGAUAGAGACAUGAAAGAAAGGCGUGGGUUUCUGCAAGGUAAUUUGCAAGUGAAAUCUGGAAAAUUUGCUAGUGAUGGAGAAAUUGAUCAAGAAAAAGAAGAGUACUGUGGGGAUGCAAUGAUCUACUUCUUCUUCUCCAAGUUGGGUUGUUCAUGAUGUUAAUUGGGUGCUAUCCUACCUGAGCUUGAUAUAUAUAUAUAUAUAUAUAUAUAUAUAUAUAUCUCUAUAUAUUUCAUUUUCCCUUUCCUUUCUUCCAUUUUCUUGACCUUGUAAGACCUUUUCUUGACCUUGUAAGACCCCACUUUGUGUUUCUUGCUUAGUUUUGUGUCUCCCCUUGAACUCGUGAUCAAUCACUCUUCUUCCUUGUUCCCCUCCAACUCAUCUUCUCCUUCCUUGUCUAUCCCUCCUGAGCUGCCUCAUCCCUCCAUAAUACCAUUAUUAAUGGAGAGACUAAUAAUUACUUCAAGUUCCCAUCUGGGUUUAGUUUAUUUUCUUAAUUACCUUUCUCUUUUACAUGGAUAUAUAUAUGCAUGUGAAAAGUUAUAUAUAGUGUACUUUGGUAUGUAAAAAACCUCGCUUUCUUAUUCUGUUGACAGCAUCAAUGCUUAGAUUGGUAUUAUGUGUGUGUUGCAGUUAGGCUUUCAGUUUUUUUCUUUGUUUUAUAUGUUGUUUGGCUGAGAAGUAUUGUAAGUGCAGUAGAGAGAAUAAUAUCUCUUCUUUUUCAGAUUAUGAUGAUGAUCAUGAUUCAUCA